RNAcentral lists this ribosomal RNA (464 nucleotides) under Vreelandella stevensii. RNAcentral describes it as "partial 16S ribosomal RNA". It matches the Rfam family "Bacterial small subunit ribosomal RNA", at positions 338 to 795 of the family's 1533-position model. Lineage: Bacteria; Pseudomonadati; Pseudomonadota; Gammaproteobacteria; Oceanospirillales; Halomonadaceae. The record is from RNAcentral.
CCUACGGAGGCUGCAGUGGGGAAUAUUGGACAAUGGGCGAAAGCCUGAUCCAGCCAUGCCGCGUGUGUGAAGAAGGCCUUCGGGUUGUAAAGCACUUUCAGUGGGGAAGAAAGCCUUGGGGCUAAUACCCUCGAGGAAGGACAUCACCCACAGAAGAAGCACCGGCUAACUCCGUGCCAGCAGCCGCGGUAAUACGGAGGGUGCGAGCGUUAAUCGGAAUUACUGGGCGUAAAGCGCGCGUAGGCGGUCUGAUAAGCCGGUUGUGAAAGCCCCGGGCUCAACCUGGGAACGGCAUCCGGAACUGUCAGGCUAGAGUGCAGGAGAGGAAGGUAGAAUUCCCGGUGUAGCGGUGAAAUGCGUAGAGAUCGGGAGGAAUACCAGUGGCGAAGGCGGCCUUCUGGACUGACACUGACGCUGAGGUGCGAAAGCGUGGGUAGCAAACAGGAUUAGAUACCCCGGUAGUC